CCCAUUAUUUCCUCUCUCUUCUUUCCUUCCAUCACUCUCUCUUCUCUCUCUCCCAAGACUACUGAUGCCGCCCCAUCGCUGCCGUUGGAAAUCGUCCACCCGCAACGGCCGACCUCCAAUCCACCCUAAAAUUUAAUCAUGUAAUCUCCAUCACCUCUUCUUUCCAUAUCUCCAAACCAUAUCUUUCAAAAAACUCUCAAACUUCUUGAAUCUUAGAUCUAAGAAAUUUUUCCAUCACUUUUUUGCCCAAGUUAUUGAAGUUCUGGCCACUACCACCCCACAAUACAUACAUCAACAGAUAGAGCUCCUCAAGACCUAGCUAUUGAUGUCAAUUCUACUUCAAAAAUCCGGCGACCAAAAUCCGGCCAAAUUCCGGCGACCUCUCCGAACAUCCUUCUUGGCAUACCACCAUUUGUUCGGCCAUUUAAAUUGUAAAAUGGUAAAAUACUAUUCCUUUUUAUGGCUGAUUUUUAUUUUUAAUUUUUAUUUUUCAGAUUUUUAUUUAUUAUUAAUUAUUUAGCGUUAGUUUUUAAAGUUUGAAAUGUUAAAUUUUCUGUUUUUGCACUUGUUGAAAUAGUAAAAUAGUUUUGUACUGAUAAAAGUGAAAUAGUGAAAAAUACUUAAGAGUAUAUGGUAUUUGUUUGUUUGUUUAUUUACUACUUCAAGACUUUUUGAGCACAAAAUUCAAAAGUCAUUUGUUUCGUAAGAAAUAUAGACUUUUGGACAAUUUUUGAACAAAAGUCUAUCCUUGAACAACAAACUGUACAUUUUUGUUUGAAAUACUCUCUUUUUGACAAGAUUUGAUGAAAAAAGUCUUGUUCUUUGAAUUUAAGAGCAGACUUUGUAGAAAAUAUGAUAAAAAGAUUAUUUUUUGAAUUUUUGAAAUAGCUAUUUGUUGUGAUAUAUAUAGAUGGAAUCACACUUCCAAAAGGCAGAGAGGAGAAUUGCAAAAACACACAAAAAAGAAAGAGAAGGAAAAAUAGGAGGAGAAGAAAAAAGAAGGGAGAGGAAAGAGCAGUAUACACUUGAUAUACACUCUGGAUACACUCUGUAUGCGCUGACAGAAUUUAAUGUUUGGAGAAUUUCAGCAGUAUACACUCAAUAUAACUCUGGAUACACCUGGUAUACAUGGACAGAAUUUAAUUUUGGAGAGUUUAAGAGAGUUAAAAGCUAGAAAGAGAAAAUAAAGAGAGAUUUCCUGAAUAUUUUUCUUCUCUAUUUUUUACUAGUUUUCUCCGUGUUGCUGGGAUUUCUGGAUUGCGGUGUUGAAACUACUGUGUUGGUUGUUACUAUUGUUGUUAUUGUUUGCUACUGCUCUGCUGAUUCUCAUCUUCCUCUUCUUUUGCUUUUAAUACCAGGUACACUUUCGAAUCACUACGAUGUAGCUAUAAGAUGUACAAGUGAAAUGAAAUGCUAG
Molecule: long non-coding RNA, 1417 nt
Filed under: Nicotiana benthamiana
Lineage: Eukaryota; Viridiplantae; Streptophyta; Magnoliopsida; Solanales; Solanaceae
Description: long non-coding RNA (NBEN_LNC033284)
Source: RNAcentral